AUUGAACGCUGGCGGCAUGCUUUACACAUGCAAGUCGAACGGCAGCGCGGGCUUCGGCCUGGCGGCGAGUGGCGAACGGGUGAGUAAUGCAUCGGAGCGUGCCCAGUAGUGGGGGAUAGCCCGGCGAAAGCCGGAUUAAUACCUCAUACGACCUGAGGGUGAAAGCGGGGGACCGAAAGGCCUCGCGCUAUUGGAGCGGCCGAUGUCGGAUUAGCUAGUUGGUGGGGUAAAGGCUUACCAAGGCGACGAUCCGUAGCUGGUCUGAGAGGACGACCAGCCACACUGGGACUGAGACACGGCACAGACUCCUACGGGAGGCCGCAGUGGGGAAUUUUGGACGAUGGGGGAAACCCUGAUCCAGCCAUGCCGCGUGCGGGAAGAAGGCCUUCGGGUUGUAAACCGCUUUUGUUCGGGAAGAAAUCCUCUGGGCUAAUACCCCGGGGGGAUGACGGUACCGGAAGAAUAAGCACCGGCUAACUACGUG
This 484-nucleotide ribosomal RNA is filed under the name uncultured bacterium. RNAcentral's name for it is "partial 16S ribosomal RNA". It matches the Rfam family "Bacterial small subunit ribosomal RNA", at positions 28 to 507 of the family's 1533-position model. The record is from RNAcentral.